This 777-nucleotide ribosomal RNA is filed under the name uncultured Neocallimastigales. RNAcentral describes it as "partial large subunit ribosomal RNA". It matches the Rfam family "Eukaryotic large subunit ribosomal RNA", at positions 23 to 645 of the family's 3401-position model. The record is from RNAcentral. Lineage: Eukaryota; Fungi; Neocallimastigomycota; Neocallimastigomycetes; Neocallimastigales.
AGAGAGAGACAUGCGCGCAUAUCAAUAAGCGGAGGAAAAGAAACUAACAAGGAUUCCCUUAGUAACGGCGAGUGAAGCGGGAAGAGCUCAAAUUUGAAAUCUUCAAGGUUUUACCUUGACGAAUUGUAGUUUAAAGAAGUGUUUUCUGCUGAAGUUUUGGUAAAAGUUCUUUGGAAUAGGACAUCAUAGAGGGUGAGAAUCCCGUAUUUGACCAUUAUUUUCAGCUUUGUGAUACACUUUCAAAGAGUCGGAUUGUUUGGGAAUGCAGUCCAAAAUGGGCUGGUAAAUUUCAUCUAAAGCUAAAUAUUAGCGAGAGACCGAUAGCGAACAAGUACCGUGAGGGAAAGAUGAAAAGAACUUUGAAAAGAGAGUUAAACAGUACGUGAAAUUGUCAAAAGGGAAGCGUUUGACACCAGUGUUGUUUUCUCGAAAAUCAAUUAAAAAUGGCUCGAUUUUGUAUUGCUUGAGACCUUAAAAGCUCACUGUACAUUUUUCGUGUCUUUUUUAAUGCACUUUUCGUUUAACAAGUCAACAUCAGUUUCUUUUGUUGUAAAAGGGUCAUUGGAAGGAUGGCUUUCUUUUCGGAGAAAGUGUUUAUAGCCUUUGGCCUCUGCAAUCGGAGAGACUGAGGUCUGCAGCGUAGACUCUUCGGGGUUAGAUACAUUUGUGCUAAGUUAUAGCUUUUUAUAGACAACUUGUUGACUAUAAUUAGUCUUGUAGCUUACUCGCUUAUGCUAUUUUACCUACGCUUAGGAUGUUGAAGUCAUCGUAUCGCGC